This 31-nucleotide non-coding RNA is filed under the name Homo sapiens (human). Lineage: Eukaryota; Metazoa; Chordata; Mammalia; Primates; Hominidae. The record is from RNAcentral.
UCAGCUCCUUAUUGCUGUUGCUACGGCCAGA